AUCCUGAUGAGGAUGACGAAGCCUCUUGAUAGGAAGUACCGUAUGACACUUUAAACAACAUUUGUGCCAACCAGUUUCUUGCACUUUUCUCUUCAUUUGCUCCACUCAAGUUCUGAAAGAAUUGGGCUGUAGUGUAUGUCAAAUGAUUAGUGUAAAUUGACUGGAACCGGUCAUGAUUGUGUGUGUGAGAGAUUUUAAACGGGUCUUUGAGGGUU
Zingiber officinale is the source of this 215-nucleotide small nucleolar RNA. RefSeq annotates it as small nucleolar RNA Z112. Lineage: Eukaryota; Viridiplantae; Streptophyta; Magnoliopsida; Zingiberales; Zingiberaceae. The transcript has a single exon. The record is from RefSeq and is a predicted model, not a curated record.